CGGAGUGCGGCCCGGUGGAGGGAGCCGCGCGGAGUCGCUGCCUCUGCCCGCCGCCCUCGCUCGCCCGCCGUCAUGUCCGUGCCGGUGUCGGGCCCCUUGCACACUGAGCUGGCGGAAGCCGUAGCCCAGGCGCGGGUCUUGGUGGUGGGAGCCGGCGGCAUCGGCUGUGAGCUCCUCAAGGACCUGGUGCUCACCGGCUUCAGCAACAUCGACGUGAUUGAUCUGGAUACUAUCGAUGUCAGCAAUCUCAACAGGCAGUUUUUGUUCCAGAAGAAGCAUGUUGGAAGAUCAAAAGCACAGGUUGCCAAGGAAAGCGUGUUACAGUUUCAUCCAGAGGCUAACAUUACAGCUUACCAUGACAGCAUCAUGAACCCUGACUAUAACGUAGAGUUCUUCCGCCAGUUUACCUUGGUUAUGAAUGCUCUGGAUAACAGAGCUGCCCGUAACCAUGUGAACAGGAUGUGUCUGGCUGCUGAUGUUCCUCUGAUAGAGAGUGGAACUGCAGGCUACCUUGGACAAGUAACAGUUAUUAAGAAGGGAAUGACAGAAUGUUAUGAAUGCCAUCCUAAGCCAACCCAGAAGACUUUUCCAGGCUGCACUAUUAGAAAUACACCAUCAGAACCUAUCCACUGCAUUGUGUGGGCUAAGUAUUUGUUCAACCAGUUGUUUGGAGAAGAAGAUGCUGAUCAAGAAGUCUCUCCUGACAGAGCUGAUCCUGAAGCUGCCUGGGAGCCAGCAGAAGCAGAAGCCAGAGCACGAGCAUCCAAUGAGGAUGGUGAGAUCAAACGUGUUUCAACUAAGGAGUGGGCUAAAUCAACUGGAUACGACCCAGUUAAACUGUUUACUAAGCUUUUCAAAGAUGAUAUCCGAUAUCUGCUGACAAUGGAUAAGCUGUGGAGGAAGAGAAAGCCUCCAGUGCCGCUGGACUGGGCUGAGGUACAAAAGCAAGAGAAAAACACAUCUGACCAACAAAAUGAAUCCUCUGCAGUCUUGAAGGAUCAGCAGGUUCUGGAUGUCAAGAGCUAUGCACACUUAUUUUCAAAGAGUGUUGAAACCCUGAGACUUCACCUGGCUGAGAAGGGUGAUGGAGCAGAGCUCAUAUGGGAUAAGGAUGACCCUUCUGCAAUGGAUUUUGUCACUUCUGCUGCCAAUCUCAGGAUGCAUGUUUUCAGUAUGAAUAUGAAGAGCAGAUUUGAUAUCAAGUCAAUGGCAGGAAAUAUCAUCCCAGCUAUAGCUACUACUAAUGCAGUCAUAGCUGGUCUGAUAGUGCUGGAGGGGUUGAAGAUUUUAUCAGGAAAAAUAGAUCAGUGUAGAACGAUCUUUCUGAACAAGCAGCCAAAUCCCAGGAAGAAGCUGUUAGUUCCUUGUGCUUUGGAUCCACCAAACCCCAACUGUUAUGUGUGUGCAAGUAAGCCAGAAGUGACUGUGAAACUGAAUGUGCACAAAGUUACUGUGCUCACACUCCAGGACAAGAUAGUGAAAGAAAAGUUUGCUAUGGUAGCACCAGAUGUACAAAUAGAUGAUGGAAAAGGAACUAUUCUUAUCUCUUCAGAGGAAGGAGAAACAGAAGCAAACAACCACAGGAAAUUAUCAGACUUUGGAAUUCGAAAUGGCACUCGGCUACAAGCAGAUGAUUUCCUCCAGGACUAUACACUCUUAAUCAAUGUGCUGCAUAGUGAAGACCUAGAGAAAGAUGUAGAAUUCGAAGUUGUUGGUGAUACUCCUGAUGGCCCUAAACCAUCAGAACCCACAUCAAAGAACAUUACCAAUGGUAGUGAUGAUGGAGCACAGCCCUCAACAUCAACAGCUCCAGAGGAAGAGGAUGUUAUGUUUGUUGAAGAAAGUGGAAGUUCUUCAGGCAAGACUGAUGAUGACAAGGAGAACAAAAGCCGCAAGAGAAAGCUAGAAGAGAAAGAGGCUGUUGGGACAAAGCGAGCACGUGCUAAGCAGACAGAAGAUGAUGAGGAGGAGGAGGAGGAUGAAAUUAUAGCAUUAGACUGAGCAUGCAAAUGCCCCUUGACAAAAUGAUUCAGUUUAUGGAAUUCAGUAACAGCAGAUUCUGUUGGGAUGUGAAAAAUGUCCAGAACUAGACUGAUUUUAAGGCCUUUGUUCUAACAAAAUCUUUUGUGCCUAGUCCUAAACAUUUUUCACACCCUGAACAAGCAAAAGAAGAAAAUUCAAUAAAGAGGAGAAUCCAACAAAGCGAAUGAGUGCCCUGUUUUAACAGUGUUCUCCAAGCUCAGCUGGCACUUUGUACAUUACUGUAAAACUGCUAUGAUUUCCUCAAGGUUUUCAGCUCGUACUGCCUGGUAUGUCAAUGUAAGAAGCAAAUUUUUGUGUAUUGUUACAGUUUCAGGUUAUUUAUAUUUGAUGUUUUGUAAACUCAAGAUACUCCUAUACUGUACAUCUGAUGGACCAAAUAAAUGACAUCUGAAAUACUUGCUACAUUUGCUUGCACAGUCCAAGUUGAUGCUGACUGGUGGGAUUUUACACUGUAUAGCCUUCCAAAAUGACUGUAUUAUUUUCAUUUUUCUAAGCAUAACCUAGUAGUACAGAACUGAAGCUUCACUUGUUUGAGGUGAAAGGGGAAUUUUUUUAAUAAAACUUUUG
This is an RNA transcript of Dryobates pubescens (Downy woodpecker), 2610 nucleotides long. It is a transcript of the gene named ubiquitin like modifier activating enzyme 2, with no coding region annotated. The transcript has 18 exons. The record is from RefSeq and is a predicted model, not a curated record. Lineage: Eukaryota; Metazoa; Chordata; Aves; Piciformes; Picidae.